AUGUCGGAGAGUGCCAGCCUCCUCCACCAGAUCCAACAGAGACUCGCUCACCGAGCAUUAACACUGGCGGUCAGCAGACAGAGGCAAACCACUGACUCCUCAGCCACUAUAUCACAUUCAUGCACACAAGCACAGUCCACAUACAUAUCACGUUUACUUGAAAGAGUAUUAUCUCUUCUACAAAUAUACACCAGGAAUGAACAUCAGAAACAAUAUAGAUUGGUCUAAUAAUUGUACCAUUCACAUGAACGCAGAUGUGGUGCCAUUGUAUUCCAUUACCAGCAUAUAUCCUGUAUUUGGAAAUGAAUAACACUAUUUAUAAAAUGUACAGGGAUUGUCAGUAUAAACCAGCCUCUUUCACUGUUUGCUUCAAUAUUCAUGCACAUGACUGCUAGAUGAGACUGACAUGUUUUGCCUUUACUAGUCACAACUAAGCCUUAACCAGCAUCUGACCAGUUCUUAACCCCUCGAUACACUUGCCCUGCAUAUUUUUCUUAAAAUAUACCAUGUUACCGGUCCUGCUGUUUCACUGACACUUUCAUUUUGUUGCAGUCUUAUUUUAUUUCUUAACGAUUAGCAAGUUUCACCCUUUUUAAAUUGCCUUCUAUUAAAUGUUUUUUAUUUUAUUUUUCAUUUAUUUUAUGCUAUUUUAUUUUAUUUGUUAGGAUACAGGAUAGAAUAACACAUCUGACAUGUUUUAACAAGUUUUUGGGAUGCUCUGAUUUAAUAUAGUCCUUAUUAAUGUUAUAUCAGUUAUAUACUGAUUACAUGAAAAGAGUAAACAGUAAAUCAAAUAAAUAUAUGUAUUUGAGUAUUCAGUAGUUCUUAUUCAGUUCCUAUUUCAAUAAAAAAAAUGCUGGAACACACUUCUGUUUCUUUAUGAUUCUCACACAUUAUUCUUCAGAUGGAAAAACCUAAAUAUAGACUAAUAUUCUCUUUUACAGCCCUAUUUAGUGAAACAGAAAUCCAAACAAAUGAUAGUUAUAAUGUUAUAUAAUGAUGGUCCUUUAAUUUCAACCAUAAAGCCCUACAAGUGUAGUCUGAACAAAUGACUUGUAGUGAAUCAGACAUACACAGCACACUGUGUAUGUAAAUCAGUGUUUCAGAUGUGUUCAAGUAGUUUAAAUACAUUUUAUAAGAUAUAUAUUCUUCACAUUUGUCAUAGCCAUCACAUUCCCAAGUGCUAUCACUCUUGACACUGACAAACACAUUCUUGUUCUUACAAAUCCAUGCUGUCAUUUCCCAAGCUUUUUUAAACACUUUUUUCCUUUUAUUUGCUGGUCCUGUGUUUUUUUUUGUUUGUUUGUUUUUUUUGCCUUUUAGCCAUCCAAUCAAAGGAAGCCCUUCUCACAGUGAGAAUCCACAUCCUUCAUUUGGCUCUUAGAGUCAAUCAGCCUUCCUCCCCCUCCUCCUCCUCUCUUUCUCUGUCUCUCCACUGCCUCUCUCUCUGUGCUUUCCCUCUGACCAAGUGCAUCCUGGCAUUGGAUGGAGCAGCAUGGAUGAAGUGGUUGAAAGAAAAGGCAGAAAGAUAAAUGAAGAAUGCAAGAGAGCUCGCUCCCUCUGUCUGAGCUAUAUACACGAAUCACAUUGUAAUGGCCAUCUGAAUAAUACACCCAGUGUGGACUUGAGUCAACAUUGAAAAAAAAGCUGCAAUGAUAUACUUAUUGUACUGCAGAUGCUGUGUGGUGCUUGUGUUUACUCACAAGACAAUAUCGACUCAGUCUAUUUAGAGGUAUAGAGCUAAACGGGAAUCUGCCAUACAUAAGCUUACAGAAUAUUCCUGUCUGCACACCAAUAUAAAGGAUAGCGGAUACACAACGUACUGUGGUACUGUGUGUGAAUGUAUUCUUCCUGAGAGUUUGAAGGUUAUUUGAUCCCACUGUGUUUGUUUCAGCCACAAUGUCUCUUCUAUUUUCCCUAGCAAACUAAUAAGUCAUGUCUGACUGAAAUGUACAUACAUUAGAAUAUAUAUACAUAUAUAUUUAUUUAUUUAUUUAUUUGUUGAUGCAGCAGUGGAAUACAUCCGAGAAUGAGAAUGGUUGAUGAAUCAAUCUGUCUGCUGUUGAAAUGUUAUUGAUAUAUAAAUUCAAGAAUCCUUAAUACAAUGACAUGAGUUUAAAUGAAUAUAGCAUCUGUUCUGACUCUUUAUACGGUGAACAGGAUCUGUUACUGUGUUGAUGUAAAUUUAUUGUGCAUCUCUGGGAGUGGUGCUUCUGUUGAUUUGUGUUGACAUGUACAUUUACUAAGGAUUGAUAAUGAAGUCAUUGUAUUAAAAAUUAACUGAUUGUAAAAUGUAAGUUUACGGUUAGUAUGUGUGUUUGUAUAUACAUACUGUAUAUGGAGGGGUCUGCAGGCAACACCAAAAUCUCCACUCUGUGGUGGAACAGGGGUGUGUGAAUCUUACUGCUGCCUUGUGUAUCUUAUUGUGGUCUGGUGUCAUAAACUGGCCAAUGCUUUGUGAUGAAAUUAAAGUGAUUUUGUGCAAAAGAUAACAGUGAAUUUUGUUCUUGUGAUUUUUAUUCAUGUACUUUACAGUCAAGACUUUCAGGUAUGCAUCUAUACUGAAAUUGAUUUUCAAAAAUAAACUGAGAAAUAUUCACUGGAGUGAAAAGUGUAACUGCUAGCCCAACUUUGUAAUUCAUGUACAAGUACAAUUAAAAUUAACAUUGAUGUUCCAGAGAAUAACAUAUGUUAUGUCUUACCCAUAUUUGUUUUUUAAUUGAAUAUUGAUGAAAAUGCUUUAAUUAAGUUAUUUCAUAUUAAAUUCCCAAAUAUGAAUAAAACACACCAUUCAAAAGUUCAGAAUUCUUUUUCAUAAUUCAUUCUACUAUCACUUUUGAUGAAUUUAAUGCAUCCUUGCUGAGUAAAAAUAUUAAUUUAUUUUAAAAAGUAUUAAAAAAAACAACAACCCAAAAUGUUUGUUCUUUGUGUAAAACAAUGCCAUUAUUAUUAUUAUUAUUAUUAUUAUUAUAUUUUUAUCAGAACAAGGUAUAUUGAAAGCAUUCGGUGACAAAACACUAUUUUUCAUUCACUCGUUUCGUUCAAGAACUACAUUCCUCUUGAUGUUUAAAAUUAAAGGACCCCAUGUUUUGUAGAAUGUUCUGG
Long non-coding RNA from Carassius auratus (goldfish), 3105 nucleotides. The record is from Ensembl. NCBI's taxonomy places the organism in Eukaryota, Metazoa, Chordata, Actinopteri, Cypriniformes, Cyprinidae.